GUGAACUGACAAUUAUUAUUAUUUACAAUCGAUUUCUGUGUAGACCAGGUGUUUGAUUUCAGUGAUCCUAAAAACUGAUAUGAUCACAUGAAGGCUUUCCUUACUUUUUAUUUUAUUUAGGUCCUUUUUCAGAAUGAAAGGUCAAAUAUUAAAAGAUAAUAAAAAAAAUUGGGCCACCAAAGUCACACAAUACGCUCAGGUCAGAGAAGUGCCCUAAGACUAUCACAGCUAAACAUACCAUAGAUAUUUCUGAUAGGUUUUCAAGAUGUCGCUUUUCUAUAUUGUCUCAGGUCUGGGUGUUUGUGCUACCUUCGUUGUUUCCGAUUUCCUUAACAAAAGUGCUUUAGCUACUUACUUGUGAUGUUAUCCACAUUAAUUUGUUUGUUUUUUCUAUAAUCGUAAUCUCAACCUUACAGCACUUGUCCCAGAAUAACGCCAUCUAUUGUCAAUUUCUCUUAUUAUAUCAUUACUCGAAAGCAUAAAUCUUAUAGGGACCGUGCGCGUUGGAGGGUCUACCAUCUUGUGGCCUGAAUCGGAACCAUAAACAUGUACAUUUACACGUCACGUGUUUUCUUGUGCAUAGUAGGUUCUGCCAUCUUGUGGGCUACAUCGGAACAAAAAACAUCACAUUUACGCUACGCGCCAAAAAU
Cydia pomonella (codling moth) is the source of this 650-nucleotide long non-coding RNA. RefSeq lists it as uncharacterized. The record is from RefSeq and is a predicted model, not a curated record. Lineage: Eukaryota; Metazoa; Arthropoda; Insecta; Lepidoptera; Tortricidae. The transcript is spliced from 2 exons.